Molecule: ribosomal RNA, 91 nt
Filed under: Microtus ochrogaster (prairie vole)
Lineage: Eukaryota; Metazoa; Chordata; Mammalia; Rodentia; Cricetidae
Source: RNAcentral
GUCUAUGGCCCACCACCCUGAAUGUGCCUGAUCUCAUCUGAUCUCGGAAGCCAAGCAGAGUUGGGCAUGGUUAGUGCUUGUAUCGGAGACC